This 301-nucleotide ribosomal RNA is filed under the name uncultured bacterium. Its description in RNAcentral is "partial 16S ribosomal RNA". It matches the Rfam family "Bacterial small subunit ribosomal RNA", at positions 509 to 808 of the family's 1533-position model. The record is from RNAcentral.
CAGCAGCCGCGGUAAUACGUAGGGGGCGAGCGUUGUCCGAAGUUACUGGGCGUAAAGCGCGCGUAGGCGGCUUCUUAAGUCUGAGGUGAAAGGUUCAACGCUUAACGUGAACAGUGCCUUGGAUACUGGGGAGCUUGAGUAUGGGAGAGGGCAGUGGAAUGGCUGGUGUAGCGGUGAAAUGCGUAGAUAUCAGUCGGAACACCCAUGGCGAAGGCAGCUGCCUGGCCUAAUACUGACGCUGAGGUGCGAAAGCGUGGGGAGCGAACGGGAUUAGAGACCCCCGUAGUCCCUGUCUCUUAUA